ACUCCAGCUGAAAGACCCACGCCUCUGUGGACCCCAGCGCCGGGACAAAUCAGCUUUAACCCAUCAAACAGGAAAGCAGAAACGCAUUCAGAAGCGGGGCGAGGGGAAAAGAGGGGGAAGAGAAACAGAAGACCAGAAACUAAUCUCUGAUUCAGUACCAUUUCAAGGGCUUGAGAGGAGGCCCUGGUUUUGCUAAGGGCUUUUUUUCAAGAGUUGAAAGUCUUCUCUUCAAGCCGGCGGCACCAGAUCGCAAAACCCCCAACCUUGUGUACGACAUAAACACACCCCAGGCAACUCUCAACUGCAAGAGCUGGAAUCUGGUACUGGUACACUGACAGGAGACCCAGACGAUCCCACAGCCUGGGAAGAAGGGUCUGGGGCUCUGCAGAGCCAAAGGAAAGAGAGCAACCGGAUUUUCUAGAAGGCACAGUCUGCACAAGCGGCCAGCCGACAGGUCGCCUUGCUGAAGAAGCCACAUAACCUGAUAUAAGUCAGCUCUGGAUCUGUUCUCUCGCCCCACCCCCAGCUCCUGACUAUGGAAGGAAGAGAAGGAGGACGGCUCCUAGACACAGCUGGCAGGCUUCGUGGUUAAAGUAGAAUCUAUUCACUUGCAUUCUUUCGUAUUCGUGAAGUUGAGCCGUCCUGGAAGACAUGGGUGUCCAGUGGGCUGCUUGAAGCCAUGCAGCGCAGCAGGACUGUGGGGAUGGGCCCUUCGAUGACCUCGCCCUUUGAAAGACCACCAAUUUCCAGCCCUCCGAGCAGUAUUCUGAUUAUGAACUUGUUUUCCUUCUUCUAUUUAAGAGGUUUGGGGACCUUAGAUCUCAGAGCACAGGUAUCCGGAGAGUGUGGAGUCAGAAAAACAGCAAGAGGAAUGAAUAUCCAGGAAGCAAGUCAUCAAGCGGAGCCCACACACAGCAGGAAGCUGGGGCAGGAGGCAAGAUAAAGCUGUACCUCCUGGAGGGCCAAGUGUCUGCAUAACUGUCAUUCUUCUCCUGUGCUUGAAGAUCACAUGCAUCGCCAAGCUCGAGAUGAGAACAUGAGAUGACUCAGUGCAAAUCUUUGCCACAACUGGAACCAAGAGCACGUGUGGGACUCUGAGGAGGGCCUUGUCCUCCCCCUGUGCCUGAGUCACGAUCCUCAUGAAUGGACCACUCACCAUGCUGGACGUGGGAGAGUGUGGGUUUCUGUGGGGGAGUGUGUUCUGUAAAAUGGAAAUAUAAGAGAGCCAAACUCAGAAUCAUUUGAAGCCCGGUGAAAAGGAAUCUUAGGUUUUGUGUUUCCUGCCUUGGUAGAAAGAGAUCAGUCAGAGAAAAAAAGUUCAUAUCAAGAAUUUUUUUUUCCUUCAAAACCUGAAACAAACCAACCAUAAGUAAAACAGAGAAUUUCAAGCUUCAACUCAACUUACUUGUUUACUUCCUGUUCAUUCCAGAUUGUCAGGAAAAACAGAUCGUCAAAGUGGUACUCCAUGGUGUAUGUGUACUGAACUGCGUACAAGCCUAUGUCCUUGUGUUUUCAAGCAAAAACCUUUUCAUUUAAGCCUUUAGCCUCCCAGGCCUCAAGAUUUGAAAAUGAGGAAAUACUGAUACAGCUACAAACUAGUUGAAACAGUCUCCAUUAUGCUAGGACUUGCCUUGACCCACUAACUUACUCAAACUAGCCUUUCACAAAUGAUUUCCUCCUUGCUUAAUUGCUUUCUUUUACUAAUGAUUACUUUCUAGUUAAGGUUAUAUUGUAUGCCUAGUGUUUUCUUUUCCUUUGAGACACUCCCUAAGUCCCCAUUCCUUCCAUGAGCCAUCUUCUCUGCAGAGAGAAGGUCAAGGCGAGAUAACCCCAAAGACCACCAGAAACCAUCACUGGACACAUGACUUGAGCCUUGAUGAUUCUGAGGUGGUCUUUGGAGGGAGAAGAAUACAGGCACCUUGAUCCCUAUCAACAGCCCUUUUGUCUUCCAAGCUAAACCUAUAAAAAUCCCUUGCUAUCCCCUCUCAAGAGAGGACACUGUUUUUAGGGCAUUAGCCUGCUGUGGCCUCCUUUGCCUGGCAAAGCAAUAAAGUUGUCCUCUCUACU
Molecule: long non-coding RNA, 2067 nt
Organism: Sus scrofa (pig)
Lineage: Eukaryota; Metazoa; Chordata; Mammalia; Artiodactyla; Suidae
Source: RefSeq, a predicted model, not a curated record